AUUGAACGCUGGCGGCAGGCUUAACACAUGCAAGUCGAGCGAGCGGCGGACGGGUGAGUAAUGUCUGGGAAACUGCCUGAUGGAGGGGGAUAACUACUGGAAACGGUAGCUAAUACCGCAUACCAUCAGAUGUGCCCAGAUGGGAUUAGCUAGUAGGUGGGGUAAUGGCUCACCUAGGCCACGAUCCCUAGCUGGUCUGAGAGGAUGACCAGCAACACUGGAACGGAGAAACGGUCCAGACCCCUAAGGGAGGCAGCAGUGGGGAAUUUUGGACAAUGGGCGAAAGCCGGAUGCAGCAAUGCCGCGUGGGUGAAGAAGGCCUUCGGGUUGUAAAGCACUUUCAGCGAGGAGGCGUUACUCGCAGAAGAAGCACCGGCUAACUCCGUGCCAGCCGCCGCGGUAAUAC
This 406-nucleotide ribosomal RNA is filed under the name uncultured bacterium. RNAcentral's name for it is "partial 16S ribosomal RNA". It matches the Rfam family "Bacterial small subunit ribosomal RNA", at positions 30 to 526 of the family's 1533-position model. The record is from RNAcentral.